GCUACAGGCUUAACACAUGCAAGUCGAGGGGCAGCAUGGUCUUAGCUUGCUAAGGCCGAUGGCGACCGGCGCACGGGUGAGUAACACGUAUCCAACCUGCCGUCUACUCUUGGACAGCCUUCUGAAAGGAAGAUUAAUACAAGAUGGCAUCAUGAGUCCGCAUGUUCACAUGAUUAAAGGUAUUCCGGUAGACGAUGGGGAUGCGUUCCAUUAGAUAGUAGGCGGGGUAACGGCCCACCUAGUCUUCGAUGGAUAGGGGUUCUGAGAGGAAGGUCCCCCACAUUGGAACUGAGACACGGUCCAAACUCCUACGGGAGGCAGCAGUGAGGAAUAUUGGUCAAUGGGCGAGAGCCUGAACCAGCCAAGUAGCGUGAAGGAUGACUGCCCUAUGGGUUGUAAACUUCUUUUAUAAAGGAAUAAAGUCGGGUAUGGAUACCCGUUUGCAUGUACUUUAUGAAUAAGGAUCGGCUAACUCCGUGCCAGCAGCCGCGGUAAUACGGAGGAUCCGAGCGUUAUCCGGAUUUAUUGGGUUUAAAGGGAGCGUAGAUGGAUGUUUAAGUCAGUUGUGAAAGUUUGCGGCUCAACCGUAAAAUUGCAGUUGAUACUGGAUAUCUUGAGUGCAGUUGAGGCAGGCGGAAUUCGUGGUGUAGCGGUGAAAUGCUUAGAUAUCACGAAGAACUCCGAUUGCGAAGGCAGCCUGCUAAGCUGCAACUGACAUUGAGGCUCGAAAGUGUGGGUAUCAAACAGGAUUAGAUACCCUGGUAGUCCACACGGUAAACGAUGAAUACUCGCUGUUUGCGAUAUACUGCAAGCGGCCAAGCGAAAGCGUUAAGUAUUCCACCUGGGGAGUACGCCGGCAACGGUGAAACUCAAAGGAAUUGACGGGGGCCCGCACAAGCGGAGGAACAUGUGGUUUAAUUCGAUGAUACGCGAGGAACCUUACCCGGGCUUAAAUUGCAGAUGAAUUACGGUGAAAGCCGUAAGCCGCAAGGCAUCUGUGAAGGUGCUGCAUGGUUGUCGUCAGCUCGUGCCGUGAGGUGUCGGCUUAAGUGCCAUAACGAGUGCAACCCUUGUUGUCAGUUACUAACAGGUUCCGCUGAGGACUCUGACAAGACCGCCAUCGUAAGAUGUGAGGAAGGUGGGGAUGACGUCAAAUCAGCACGGCCCUUACGUCCGGGGCUACACACGUGUUACAAUGGGGGGUACAGAGGGCCGCUACCACGCGAGUGGAUGCCAAUCCCCAAAACCUCUCUCAGUUCGGACUGGAGUCUGCAACCCGACUCCACGAAGCUGGAUUCGCUAGUAAUCGCGCAUCAGCCACGGCGCGGUGAAUACGUUCCCGGGCCUUGUACACACCGCCCGUCAAGCCAUGGGAGCCGGGGGUACCUGAAGUGCGUAACCGCGAGGAGCGCCCUAGGGUAAAACUGGUGACUGGGGCUAAGUAA
This 1445-nucleotide ribosomal RNA is filed under the name uncultured organism. RNAcentral describes it as "SSU rRNA". It matches the Rfam family "Bacterial small subunit ribosomal RNA". The record is from RNAcentral.